UCCAGACUCCUACGGGAGGCAGCAGUGGGGAAUAUUGCACAAUGGGGGAAACCCUGAUGCAGCGACGCCGCGUGAAGGAAGAAGUAUCUCGGUAUGUAAACUUCUAUCAGCAGGGAAGAAAACAGACGGUACCUGACUAAGAAGCCCCGGCUAACUACGUGCCAGCAGCCGCGGUAAUACGUAGGGGGCAAGCGUUAUCCGGAUUUACUGGGUGUAAAGGGGGCGCAGACGGCCAUGGCAAGCCCGGUGUGAAAGGCAGGGGCAUAACCCCUGGACUGCACUGGGAACUGUCAGGCUGGAGUGCCGGAGGGGUAAGCGGAAUUCCUGGUGUAGCGGUGAAAUGCGUAGAUAUCAGGAGGAACACCGGCGGCGAAGGCGGCUUACUGGACGGCAACUGACGUUGAGGCCCGAAAGCGUGGGGAGCGAACAGGAUUAGAUACCCCAGUA
This 447-nucleotide ribosomal RNA is filed under the name uncultured bacterium. RNAcentral's name for it is "bacterial SSU rRNA". It matches the Rfam family "Bacterial small subunit ribosomal RNA", at positions 330 to 792 of the family's 1533-position model. The record is from RNAcentral.